RNAcentral lists this ribosomal RNA (239 nucleotides) under uncultured prokaryote. Its description in RNAcentral is "partial 16S ribosomal RNA". The record is from RNAcentral.
UUGAUAAAGCUGUUGCCGAUACUUGGAACAAUUUCUGGAAAGACGGUAAAGCUGAUGGUAUUGGCUCUAAUUUGUCUAGGAAAUAACCGUCAGGAUUGACACCCUCCCAAUUGUAUGUUUUCAUGCCUCCAAAUCUUGGAGGCUUUUUUAUGGUUCGUUCUUAUUACCCUUCUGAAUGUCACGCUGAUUAUUUUGACUUUGAGCGUAUCGAGGCUCUUAAACCUGCUAUUGAGGCUUGU